RNAcentral lists this ribosomal RNA (434 nucleotides) under uncultured bacterium. RNAcentral describes it as "partial 16S ribosomal RNA". It matches the Rfam family "Bacterial small subunit ribosomal RNA", at positions 29 to 507 of the family's 1533-position model. The record is from RNAcentral.
AACGAACGCUGGCGGCAGGCCUAACACAUGCCAGUCGAACGAACCUUUCGGGGCUAGUGGCGGACGGGUGCGUAACGCGUGGGAACGUGCCUUUAGGUUCGGAAUAACUCAGGGAAACGUGUGCUAAUACCGAAUGUGCCCUUCGGGGGAAAGAUUAAUCGCCUUUAGAGUGGCCCGCGUCUGAUUAGCUAGUUGGUGGAGGGAAUGGCUCACCAAGGCGACGAGCAAUAGCUGGUCUGAGAGGAUGAUCAGCCACAUUGGGACUGAGACACGGCCCAGACUCCUACGGGAGGCAGCAGUGGGGAAUAUUGGACAAGGGGCGAAAGCCUGAUCCAGCAAUGCCGGGUGAGUGAUGAAGGCCUUAGGGUUGUAAAGCUCUUUUACCCGGGAUGAUAAUGACAGUACCGGGAGAAUAAGCGCCGGCUAACUCCGUG